GAAGAAUCCAGAGAUGGAUUUGUGCCUUCGGGAACUGUGAGACAGGUGCUGCAUGGCUGUCGUCAGCUCGUGUUGUGAAAUGUUGGGUUAAGUCCCGCAACGAGCGCAACCCUUAUCCUUUGUUGCCAGCGGUUAGGCCGGGAACUCAAAGGAGACUGCCAGUGAUAAACUGGAGGAAGGUGGGGAUGACGUCAAGUCAUCAUGGCCCUUACGACCAGGGCUACACACGUGCUACAAUGGCGCAUACAAAGAGAAGCGACCUCGCGAGAGCAAGCGGACCUCAUAAAGUGCGUCGUAGUCCGGAUUGGAGUCUGCAACUCGACUCCAUGAAGUCGGAAUCGCUAGUAAUCGUGGAUCAGAAUGCCACGGUGAAUACGUUCCCGGGCCUUGUACACACCGCCCGUCACACCAUGGGAGUGGGUUGCAAAAGAAGUAGGUAGCUUAACCUUCGGGAGGGCGCUUACCACUUUGUGAUUCAUGACUGGGGUGAAGUCGUAACAAGGUAACCGUAGGGGAACCUGCGGUUGGAUCACCUCCUUACCUUAAAGAA
This 550-nucleotide ribosomal RNA is filed under the name Salmonella enterica. RNAcentral describes it as "bacterial SSU rRNA". It matches the Rfam family "Bacterial small subunit ribosomal RNA", at positions 993 to 1533 of the family's 1533-position model. Lineage: Bacteria; Pseudomonadati; Pseudomonadota; Gammaproteobacteria; Enterobacterales; Enterobacteriaceae. The record is from RNAcentral.